UACGAAGGGGGCUAGCGUUGCUCGGAAUCACUGGGCGUAAAGCGCACGUAGGCGGCUUCUUAAGUCAGGGGUGAAAUCCUGGAGCUCAACUCCAGAACUGCCUUUGAUACUGAGGAGCUUGAGUCCGGGAGAGGUGAGUGGAACUGCGAGUGUAGAGGUGAAAUUCGUAGAUAUUCGCAAGAACACCAGUGGCGAAGGCGGCUCACUGGCCCGGUACUGACGCUGAGGAGCGAAAGCGUGGGGAGCAAACAGG
Molecule: ribosomal RNA, 253 nt
Filed under: uncultured bacterium
Lineage: Bacteria
Description: partial 16S ribosomal RNA
Rfam family: Bacterial small subunit ribosomal RNA
Source: RNAcentral